This 76-nucleotide transfer RNA is filed under the name Bos taurus (domestic cattle). It matches the Rfam family "tRNA". From Rfam's summary of the family: Transfer RNA (tRNA) molecules are approximately 80 nucleotides in length. RNAcentral also lists the same sequence under 3 other names. Lineage: Eukaryota; Metazoa; Chordata; Mammalia; Artiodactyla; Bovidae. The record is from Rfam by way of RNAcentral.
UCCUUGGUGGCUCAGAUGGUAAGUAAAGCGUCUGCCUGCAAUACAGGAGACCCAGGUUCGAUCCCUGGGUUGGGAA